Molecule: ribosomal RNA, 457 nt
Filed under: uncultured bacterium
Lineage: Bacteria
Description: bacterial SSU rRNA
Rfam family: Bacterial small subunit ribosomal RNA
Source: RNAcentral
UACGGGAGGCAGCAGUGGGGAAUAUUGCACAAUGGGCGAAAGCCUGAUGCAGCUAUGCCGCGUGUAUGAAGAAGGCCUUAGGGUUGUAAAGUACUUUCAGCAGGGAGGAAAGAAAUAAAACUAAUAAUUUUAUUUUGUGACGUUACCUGAAGAAGAAGCACCGGCUAACUCCGUGCCAGCAGCCGCGGUAAUACGGAGGGUGCAAGCGUUAAUCAGAAUUACUGGGCGUAAAGAGCGCGUAGGUGGUUUUUUUAAAGUCAGAUGUGAAAUCCCUAGGCUUAACCUGGAACUGCAUUUUGAAACUGAAAAACUAGAGUAUCGUAGAGGGAGGUAGAAUUCUAGGUGUAGCGGUGAAAUGCGUAGAUAUCUGGAGGAAUACCUGUGGCGAAAGCGGCCUCCUAAACGAAUACUGACACUGAGGUGCGAAAGCGUGGGGAGCAAACAGGGAUUAGAUACC